This 637-nucleotide ribosomal RNA is filed under the name uncultured archaeon. RNAcentral describes it as "bacterial SSU rRNA". It matches the Rfam family "Archaeal small subunit ribosomal RNA", at positions 4 to 649 of the family's 1478-position model. The record is from RNAcentral.
CCGGUUGAUCCUGCCGGAAGCUACUGCUAUCGGGAUUCGAUUAAGCCAUGCGAGUCGAGAGGGUUCGGCCCUCGGCUGACGGCUCAGUAACACGUGGAUAACCUGCCCUCAGGUAGGGGAUAAUCUCGGGAAACUGAGGAUAAUACCCUAUAGACAUCCUUUGCUGGAAUGCUUGGAUGUUCAAAGGCGACGCCUGAGGAUGGGUCUGCGGCCUAUCAGGUUGUAGUAGGUGUAAUGGACCCACUAGCCUACGACGGGUACGGGCCUUGAAAGAGGUAGCCCGGAGAUGGACUCUGAGACACGAGUCCAGGCCCUACGGGGCGCAGCAGGCGCGAAAACUUCGCAAUGCGGGAAACCGUGACGAGGGAAUCCCGAGUGCUCAUGCAAUGCAUGGGCUUUUAUGAUGUGUAAAAAGCAUUAGGAAUAAGGGCUGGGUAAGACCGGUGCCAGCCGCCGCGGUAAUACCGGCAGCUCUAGUGGUAGCCACUUUUAUUGGGCCUAAAGCGUCCGUAGCCUGUCAGAUAAAUCCUUGGGUAAAUCGUACAGCUUAACUGUGCGGCUUCCGAGGAGACUGUCUGACUUGGGACCGGGAGAGGUUGGAGGUACUCCUGGGGUAGGGGUGAAAUCCUGUAAUCCU